Molecule: non-coding RNA, 30 nt
Filed under: Mus musculus (house mouse)
Lineage: Eukaryota; Metazoa; Chordata; Mammalia; Rodentia; Muridae
Source: RNAcentral
UCCAGUUACCACUUGGCUACCUGGUGCUAC